RNAcentral lists this long non-coding RNA (618 nucleotides) under Struthio camelus australis. RNAcentral describes it as "lncRNA (ENSSCUG00000017016.1)". The record is from RNAcentral. Lineage: Eukaryota; Metazoa; Chordata; Aves; Struthioniformes; Struthionidae.
AUUGGAUUUCUGCUCUUCUACCUUCAGUCUGUAUAUAUUUACUAUUGAUUCAGCUAUUUCACCUACCUUGGGUCACUGCAAAGCAGACUGAGCAGCUGGGGCACGUGACACUGGGAGAAGAUAUUUGAUGCAACACUGCAAAAGAUUGGUUUGGUGCAGCCUGUCUGAACUGAAAUGUCUUACUGUGAGCUAUGGGGAGUUUUCUACUGUUCGUUGCUUUGUGAUUGCUGCUGGCUGUUGUUUUGCCUGUCCUUCACUCUUCUGUGUUACUGGAAGUCAAGCUGGAUAUGUUGACAUCAAAUCAUUUUCCUGCCUUCAGUUCCAGAGGUCUCUAGAUGAGACAGAAGCCAGCAUACGCAGCUUGGCAGAUGAAGAAUCAGUGCAGUCAACACAUGCCGUGAAGAUCAGCUUCCCAUAAGAAGUACCCAGAUGGGAAGUAAGCUGCCACCUUUCAGGCCUGGCUUUCAGUCCUGCUGCUGGAGUUGGAUCUGUGCUGAAGGAAAGGAGAAGGGAACCUCUUGUCCAGCGGAGACACCAAGCAACUGUCAGAGAACCAAGAGCAGGAAAGAGCUGCUUGGACGCAAUAAAAAGUAAUCAGUGUUCUUAUGUGGCGUGUCC